UGGAGAAUCCCGUGAACUAUCGAGUCUUUAAACGCAAGUUGCGCCUGAAGCCAUUAAGCUGAUGGUGUACCUGCCUGGGCGUCACAGCCGUUGCCCCCCGGCACUUCCAUUGGAAGCGUCGGUGGGCAGACAAUGGCUUUCAGUGCGUCACCACGCGUGGUUGGCACAAAUGUUUAGUCCCCGGUGAUGAACGCCACGACAAUCGUUGGUUGUCAAACCUCGGUUGCCUGUUGUGCACUUUCAUCGAGCUCUGGGCGGCUCACGAUGCUCACUGCUUUGCUUCGGUGGAGCCUUCAACGCGACCCCAGGUCAGGCAGGGUUACCCACUAAAUUUAA
Molecule: ribosomal RNA, 336 nt
Filed under: Crataegus beata
Lineage: Eukaryota; Viridiplantae; Streptophyta; Magnoliopsida; Rosales; Rosaceae
Also listed under: 2 other names
Description: eukaryotic LSU rRNA
Source: RNAcentral